This 45-nucleotide non-coding RNA is filed under the name Schistosoma bovis. The record is from RNAcentral. Lineage: Eukaryota; Metazoa; Platyhelminthes; Trematoda; Strigeidida; Schistosomatidae. RNAcentral also lists the same sequence under 1 other name.
AUUCAGCUGACGAGUCCUAAACGGGACUAAACGCUCAUCUUAAAU